UGCACAGCUAAGUUCAAAAUGUUCUCUAAACUAAUUAAAUCAGCAAGAAAAAAACUUACAAAUAAAAAAUCCCUGGCAGUUGUUAAAACAAUAAAGAAGUGUACGUGCAAACCCACGAUCUGCAAAUGUAAAAAGGGUCAUAAAAAAUUAUUACUCCUAAAUAAGGAAGCAAUUCACAUAAAUGGGAUUUUGGUGUAAUUGAAACUUUAGCCAGGCGGCUAAAAUGAAGCUAACGAUGCUUUUACUAAAAACACUAUCAUCUGUGUAUAAUAUUAAUAAUAUCUAAUAUAAUAAAUCUACGUACAUACUAUAUUAUUAUUAUUGCAUUACAAAUAAAUAAGAUUUCAUAUAAGUAAA
Calliphora vicina (urban bluebottle blowfly) is the source of this 357-nucleotide long non-coding RNA. RefSeq lists it as uncharacterized. Lineage: Eukaryota; Metazoa; Arthropoda; Insecta; Diptera; Calliphoridae. The record is from RefSeq and is a predicted model, not a curated record. The transcript has 2 exons.